UGUCCAGGGAUGGGAAUCGAACCCACAGUGUUCCGCUAACCGUGCAGAUGCCAUGUCUACUAGGCUAUUCUGGAU
RNAcentral lists this transfer RNA (75 nucleotides) under Cordylochernes scorpioides. Its description in RNAcentral is "tRNA-Thr". Lineage: Eukaryota; Metazoa; Arthropoda; Arachnida; Pseudoscorpiones; Chernetidae. The record is from RNAcentral.